GGAAACACAAUUGGAAUUAGGUUAUUUUGGUUUAUGUAUUCAAAUUAAUUUUCUGAUUAGUUACUUGGGUUAAAAGUGUGCACAUUCCAUUUUUGGCCUGUAAACUCACCUUCUCAAAUGACAAAAAGCAUCAUACAGUUCAAUAAUCUAGACACUUGGAUGAUGUUGGUAUUCAUCUUGGACACAAAGCUGAACAUUUUGAAUGUAAUAGUUGGCUUGCUUUUUAGUUAAUAUCACCUUAUGUGUAUUAUUCUAUUUUUACAUGGAAAAUAAUAGUACGCUUUUGUAUUA
Molecule: unclassified non-coding RNA, 291 nt
Filed under: Hevea brasiliensis (rubber tree)
Lineage: Eukaryota; Viridiplantae; Streptophyta; Magnoliopsida; Malpighiales; Euphorbiaceae
Source: RNAcentral